AAAUAGAUACCCAGGUAGUCCACGCCGUAAACGAUGAGUGCUAAGUGUUAGAGGGUUUCCGCCCUUUAGUGCUGCAGCUAACGCAUUAAGCACUCCGCCUGGGGAGUACGGCCGCAAGGCUGAAACUCAAAGGAAUUGACGGGGGCCCGCACAAGCGGUGGAGCAUGUGGUUUAAUUCGAAGCAACGCGAAGAACCUUACCAGGUCUUGACAUCCUCUGCCAACCCUAGAGAUAGGGCGUUCCCCUUCGGGGGACAGAGUGACAGGUGGUGCAUGGUUGUCGUCAGCUCGUGUCGUGAGAUGUUGGGUUAAGUCCCGCAACGAGCGCAACCCUUGAUCUUAGUUGCCAGCAUUUAGUUGGGCACUCUAAGGUGACUGCCGGUGACAAACCGGAGGAAGGUGGGGAUGACGUCAAAUCAUCAUGCCCCUUAUGACCUGGGCUACACACGUGCUACAAUGGAUGGUACAAAGAGCUGCGAACCCGCGAGGGUAAGCGAAUCUCAUAAAGCCAUUCUCAGUUCGGA
This 523-nucleotide ribosomal RNA is filed under the name uncultured bacterium. Its description in RNAcentral is "bacterial SSU rRNA". It matches the Rfam family "Bacterial small subunit ribosomal RNA", at positions 776 to 1297 of the family's 1533-position model. The record is from RNAcentral.